This 6313-nucleotide long non-coding RNA is filed under the name Homo sapiens (human). Its description in RNAcentral is "HSALNT0268056". The record is from RNAcentral. Lineage: Eukaryota; Metazoa; Chordata; Mammalia; Primates; Hominidae.
CCUCUCCCUACCCCUUUCUCGUCUUCUCUGGUGCAGAUCCUAGAUCCAGUCCUUGCAUGAAGGUCCUCCUCUCAGGAUCUGCUUCAACGGGAUGGCAGAUGCUUAAGUACAUGCAGGCUGUGAAGUGAGUUGUAAAUAAGAUAUUGUUAUUAGGACUAUCCCUGAUAAGAAAGGCAUGUCCUCUGCACCUCUAAUCCUGGGCCACUGCUAUGCAUCCCCACUUAGAUGACCGACUGCAGUCGCUCAGAGCAAUUGUAGAGGAUGGCAAGGAAUCAACCUAUUUGGAUGAAGACGUUUUGUGGGCGGGCAGAGAAGAAAACUCUUGAGAGAAGGAAGCAUUGCCAGGGGCAUGGGAGCCUACAACUGCUGGUGCCUCAGUCCCAUCUUUGACCAAUUCAUUCAACAAACAUUUAUCAAGGAAUGUCUUUGUGCCAGACCCCAUCCUAGGCAUGGGGCAUGCAAGAAGGACAGGUCCCUGUACCCAUGGAACCCCCGUGCAGGAAGCAAAACAGGAAAUGAACAAUUAAACAAAUACACAGUGUAAUUUCAGAUCAUACUAAAUGGUGGAAAAUAAAGUGUGUUGAUGUGAUAGCAAGGGACUGGGGACUAGGGAGCGUCCGGGAUUGCUGUCUGUUAGGAGAUCAUAUUUGAGUUGAGACUCGAAUGCAGAGAAGGAAUCUACUGAGCGAAAACUAGUGGAAGAAGCACUUCUGUUCAACAUAGCAGUGGAACUCCUAGUCAGAGCAAUUAGGCAAGAACAAUAAAUAAAAGGCAUCCAAAUUGGAAAGGAAGAAGUAAAAUUAUCUCUGUACUCAAGUGACAUGAUCUUAUAUGCAGAAAACCCUAAAGAUUCUACAAAUCCCCCUGUUAGAACUAAUAAGUGGAUUUGACAAGUUGCAGGAUAUAAAAUCAAUGUGCAAAAAUCAGUGAAUAUGAACAAUUCAGAAAGAAAAUUAAGAAAACAAUUCAAUUUACUAUAGCAUCAAAAAGAAUAAAAGACAGGAAUAAAUUUGAAGAGGCAGAAGAUUUGUACCAAAAACUAUAAAAAACUAUAAAAAUUGCUGAAAAAUUAAAGCAGACACAAAUAAAUGCAGACACCAGAUGAUGCUCAUGAAUCAGAGGACUUAAUACUGGUAAAAUGCCCUUACCUUCCAAAGCGAUCUAUAGAUUCAAUGCAACCCCUAUCAAAAUUCUAAUUUUUUUGUGGAAAUAGAAAAAUUUAUACUAAAAUUCAUAUGGAACCUCAAGGCACCUCAAAUAGCCAAAACAAUCUUGAAAAAGAAGAAUGGUUAGAGACAUCACACUUCCUGAUUUCAAAACUUACUGCAAAGCUACAGUAAUCAAAACAGUAUCAUACUGACAUAAAGAUAGGUGUGUAGACCAAGGGAACAGUACAGACAGCCCAGAAUUAAACCCUCACAUGUAGGGCAGAUGAUCUUCGACAAAGAUGCUAAGACCGCUCAAUGGAGAAAGAACAGUCCCUUCAACAAAUGGUGUUGCAAAAACUGUAUAUCUACAUACAAAAGAACCUUUUAUCAUAUAUAAAAAUUAACUCAAAAUGGAUAAAAAACCUAAACACAAACCUAAAACUGUAAAACUCCUAGAAUAAAACAUAAGAGAGAAGCUUCAUGACAUUGGAUUUGGCAACGAUUUAUUGAAUGUGAAACUAAAAGUGUAGACAGCAAAAGAAAAAAUAGAUACAUUGGACUACAGCAAUAUUAAACACUUUGCAUCUAAAGACACAGCAGAGUGAAAGGUAACCUAUGAAAUGGGAGAAAAUGUUUGAAAUAUAUAUAAGGGGCUAAUAUCCAGGAUAUUAAAAACAAACUCCUACAACUCAACAACAAAAAAAGAAAUAACCCUAUUAUAAAAUGAGCAAAGGACUUGAAUAAAGAUUUCUCCAAAGAAGAUAUACAGAUGGCCCAUAAACACAAGAAAAGAUGCUCAGCACCACUAAUCAUUAGAAAAAUGCAAACCCAAACCACAAUGAGAUACCAUCUCAUGCUCAUUAGGAUGUCUACUAUCAAGAAAACAGAAACUAACAAGUGUUGGUGUCGGUGUGGAAAAACUGGAACCCUUGUGCACUAUUGAUGGAAAUGUCAAUUGUAUACCCCUAUGGCUAUACCCUAUGGAAUUAUACCAUAGGGGUAUACCAUGGGGGUAUAAUUGUAUACCAUAGGGGUUACCAUGGGGGUAUAAUUGUAUACUAUAGGGGUAUACCAUGGGGGUAUAAUUGUAUACCCAUAUGGAAAACAGUAUGGCUGUUCCUCGGAACAUUAAACAUAUAAUUACCAUGUGGUCCAGCGAUUCCUUUCUGGGUAUAUACCCCAAAAAAUUGAAAGCAAGGACUUGAAGAGGUAUCUGUACACACAGGCUCAUAGCAGUAUUAUUUACAAUGUCCAAAAGACGGAAGCAAUCCACGUGUCCAUUGACAGAUGAAUAGAUAAAGAAAAUGUGGUAUAUCCCUACGAUGGAAUAUUACUCAGCCUUAGAAAGGAAGGAGAUUCUGACACAUGCUGCAACACGGAUGAAGCUUGAGGACUUUAUGCUGAACGAAAUAAGCCAGUCACAAAAGGACAAAUACGGUAUGAUUCCACUUAUAGGAGGUACCUAGAGUAGUCAGAUUAUAAAGACAAGGUGGAAUGGUGACCGCCAAGGGCUGAGGGGAAGGAGAAUGGAGUCGUAUUUAACGGAUACAGAGUUUCAGUUUUGCCAGAUGAAAAGUUCUGUUGAGGGAUGGUGGUGAUCGUAGCACAAUGGUGUGAAUGUAGUUAAUGCCACUGAGCUGUACACUUAGAAAUGGUUAAGGUGGUUAAUUUAUGUGUGUAAUUUACCACAGUUAGGAAAAAUGAUCAGAAGAGAGUUCCAUGCUUAGGGAACAGCAAAUGCGGAGGCCCUGUGGGUAGGAAUGAGCUUGGCAGAUUUGAGACAAAGGAGUCCUGUGCUCUGGGAGCAAAGUGAAUCAGGUGGGGGAGUGGAAAGAGGUGUGACCACAAGGACAGACAGGGGACAGAACAGGCUGGAUCUUCUGAGUUUGCAUUUGAUAUCAGAGAUGUGAAAUCUGAGAUUCACAACAAAGAUCCCCAGUAACUUGCCCAAGGUGAAAUAGUCAGUAGGUGGCAGUGGCAGGGAGUCCAAGUGGUUCCCUAACAGAUUAGCUGUUUCCCCUUCUUCCUUAGUAAUAGAACUACUGCUGACUAUCAGUUGUGCCUAUGGUCACCCAGAGUCAUGACUACCUUUCCCAGCCCCUUUGCAGCUAAGCAUGGCAAGGGAACUUAGUCCUAGACAGUGGGAAAGUAGGCAAAAUCAUCAUGUGCAACUUUAAGGGUGUGUCCUUAAAGACAGAGGUAUUCUCUUCUUUAUCUUUUGUGCUUUCCUGCUAUCUGGAAUGUCAGUGUGAUGGUUGGAGUUUGGCAGCCAUCUUAGACCCAUGAAGCAAGGGAGAGUGACAUGACAGAUGGGAGAGUGUGGCCGACAUUGGACUUGGGAGUUGGGAGGGCUCCUGAGGUGGUGUCACUUGACCUGCCUUGUCUGAUGAGGAGGAGCCAGUGGAGGGUGGGCAUAUUUAAGUAAGGUCACUCCUGGUAGAAGGAUCUGAGGUGGGACAAGCUGGGAGUAAGAGGGGGUGGUGGUUGGACACAGCAGGGAGGCUGGAGGGACUGAGGGCAGGUGUGAGGGGAGCUUGGGCAGAGACAGGAGCUGAGAGGGGGCAGGGCCUGGCCCAUCAGUCCCGUGAUGGGGACACUGGAAGGUUGUGGUCAGAGAGCUGCCCAGGGCUGAUUCAGCAUGAGAAGGAUCCUUCUAACUGCUGUGUGGGGAAGGGGCUGCUCAUGACCAGGACGGGAGGCCAGGGCAAGGCUGGGGAGCCAUUCAGGGUCAGCAGAUGCUGGAAGAUGGAAUGGGAAGCACAUGUUCUGUAGAGUAUAGAGUGGAACCACCUGCGGGAUGAUGGGCCAGCACCUGCCCUGGACUCAGGGACAUCUGUGGCUGAUGAUUGUGAUAAAGAUGGGGGAUGACCUCAGAGCUCCCUUCCCAGCCUGCGUUUCUGCAGGGAAAUGUCAAAUCCAGGGAAUGGAAUUGAUCCCAGCAUAAAAAACACAUGACACUGUGGAGCCAGGAAGGAAGGUCAUGAGAAUGUUAUCAGAUGCCAUAUAAUACUCAAUAUAAAACCAAUCAAUAAUAAUCAGAAGUAAUCAAUAUAAAGCCAAUAAUCAAUAUAAAAUUCAACGCAACCGUAAUGAGGGUGAUGAUGCCUAACAUUUUAAACCCUUGCAUCCCAUGGGCAGAUGGUGUACUGAGCACUUUACUGGUAUUUUCUGCCUUAACUUGUCUGAUAAUCCUAUGUAACAGGAACUAUCAUUAUCCUCAGUUUAUAGAGGAGGAGACUCAGGCACAGAGAGGUUUAAAUAACCUGCCCAAGGUCACACAGCUAGUAAGUGGUAGGCAGUGGGCUGGGAUUUGAACCCAGAGAACCUGCCUCCCAUGCAGGUGUUGUGUGCAAAUUUGGCUCAGCCAAUUGGAUUCUCUUGUCUAGAUCCAGGAGGUCUUCACCUUUCUGGAUAUCUGGCUCACUUGCAUCCUGUGAUUGUGCCCCCCCAGAGUGAGGGGGUGCAUCAGGGCUGAGGAUGCUGGUUUGAGUCUUUGAGCAGCAUGUGAGACAAACCGAGCAGCAGAUGUGGCCAGGUGGGAAAGCCGACACCUCCUGGACUCUCGAAGGCUGAACUGGAGACCCAGGGACAGGGACGGGAGGGUCCCAUGGGAGUCCCCAACUCUUAUCAUCAUUUCCGUGUUCAUUUGUUCUUGGGAGAGGGGACAUCAGAGCCUCCUUCCCCCAUUAGAAUUUUUGCUCCAAGAAGGGGUUUUUGUUUGAUGUGUGUCUCUAGUGCCUUGGGCAGUUCCUGGCUCAAUAUGUAUAGAAAUAUUAUUGUAAUAAAGAUGAGGGCAGCGACCUUAUCUGUCCCUUUCAACCCAGCACCUAGCAGAGUACCUGGCAUGUGGUAGGACUCAAUAAAUAUUUGUAGAAUGAAUGAAUGGAUGAAUGAAUGAGUGACAUCUCUCAAUCCUUCCCCAUACCUGCCUCCUCUGUCUUCAGGACCCUUUCCUCCUCAUCUCAUUCCAACAUCCCUGUUUUGGGGCUUUCUUGGGUGGAUUUGGGGCCCCAUUGUGCUCCCCCAGUGCCUGUUUUAACAGCCUCCCUCCUGCCAAGAUGACAAAUGUCUCUCAGCCCUGGAAGCUGAGGCUGCCUCCACUGUGAAGCUGAUACCACUGUUGGAAGAUGCUUCCUCCCACAUUGGCACUGCUCUGCUGUGCCCCGGGGUUGCGGCACCUCCUCUGACUGGCCCUUCACUUCAGUCACACUCCUGGAAACAAGUUCCCAGGCAGACCCCGUCCCCAAAGUCUAGGAUUCAAUUGUCUGCUUAUACCAGUGCUAAAAACAGCAUGAUUUCCCCCAACUCAGCUGCACCUGUGCAGACAAGAAUAAGACAGCAUAUUUUUAGCAGGUAACAGACUGCACACAUGCAGGCUAUAAUUAGCAUUUCAUUCAAAGGGAGGAGUUUCCCAUCCAAUGCAAGAGUGACUGACCACGGGGUCUUCUCACUGCAGCCUCUGUCUCAGGUGCCUGGUGCAGGAAGGAGCCAGCAGCACUGAGGGAGACCCUGGGGUUCCCUGGGCACCCAGGAAAGGGGUGGGGCCUUUUUGGAUAUUGCUCCCGUCACUGCUCAUACCUUUCUCUCUGGCCUGUCCAGAGCCUUGGUCCUGCCCAGACCCUAGUGCUGUCCUCCUGUGAGGAUGACCUGGCCAGGCCAUGUGAUGAAGGUGCCCUGUCAGGUUGGUGUGGGGCUUGCAGGUCCUCUGUCCUGCACUCAAGCUGCCCCAUGGGGGACAGGGACAGGGCUGGGGUUACCCAGCUGUGGCAGAGACUGCUGGAUGACCUCAGCAUCCCUCCUGGUAGCAGUGAGCCUAGCUGCCUGGAAUAAAGACUGCAUUUCCCAGGCCUCCUUGUGACCAAAACAUGGCCAGUGGGGUGUGAACAUUGUCUUUUUUUCCUUCUCUUUGGAUGGGAGAAAACAGGGUACAGAUGUCUGGGAUGAAGCAGAAGGCAACGGUCUCAAAAAUCCGAGGAUAAAGAUAGAAGGAGGUGGGGCCUCAGUUUCCUCUGCUGUAAAAUGGAAGAGUAAUUAUGUCUAUGUUCUGUGGUUUCUGUAAGUUAAGAUUCUUUCAGCUGCUAAGUGAAGAAAAAUUAAACCCCAAUGGUCUAAGGCAAAGGUGGAUUUAUUGGCUCAGGUAACUGGAAAAAAAAUAUUCAAGAAAG